This 576-nucleotide ribosomal RNA is filed under the name uncultured bacterium. RNAcentral's name for it is "bacterial SSU rRNA". It matches the Rfam family "Bacterial small subunit ribosomal RNA", at positions 102 to 674 of the family's 1533-position model. The record is from RNAcentral.
ACGGGUGAGGAAUACAUCGGAAUCUGCCUAUUUGUGGGGGAUAACGUAGGGAAACUUACGCUAAUACCGCAUACGACCUACGGGUGAAAGCGGAGGACCUUCGGGCUUCGCGCAGAUAGAUGAGCCGAUGUCGGAUUAGCUAGUUGGCGGGGUAAAGGCCCACCAAGGCGACGAUCCGUAGCUGGUCUGAGAGGAUGAUCAGCCACACUGGAACUGAGACACGGUCCAGACUCCUACGGGAGGCAGCAGUGGGGAAUAUUGGACAAUGGGCGCAAGCCUGAUCCAGCCAUGCCGCGUGGGUGAAGAAGGCCUUCGGGUUGUAAAGCCCUUUUGUUGGGAAAGAAAAGCAGUCGGUUAAUACCCGAUUGUUCUGACGGUACCCACAGAAUAAGCACCGGCUAACUUCGUGCCAGCAGCCGCGGUAAUACGAAGGGUGCAAGCGUUACUCGGAAUUACUGGGCGUAAAGCGUGCGUAGGUGGUUUGUUAAGUCUGAUGUGAAAGCCCUGGGCUCAACCUGGGAAUUGCAUUGGAUACUGGCAGGCUAGAGUGCGGUAGAGGGUAGUGGAAUUCCCGGU